CAGAUGUUGACGUUACCCACGAGGACGCACCUGCCAACAUGGACCGUCAGACUGUGCAGAGUGGAGCUCAGGUCCUGCAGCAGCUCCUUGACAAGGCGCGGGUUGUAGUGGUCUUCUAAAACUAGACCCAGAUCACAGAAGUUGAAUCUCCUCAAGUCCUGGAUGGCGCUGGAAAAGUCUAGACGGUUGAGGGCCUCGCCGAGUGUGCAGUAGCCAUGUCGCUGAACUUCCUGCCUCUGUCUGGGUCGAGAUUGCAGUUUUGUUACAACUCCUCCUCCUGUAGCCGCUCGCUGUCGCCGCUGCUCCUGGAGAAGCCGCCGUCCGACGUGGACUCGCUGGCGCUCCGCACGUUUGCCGCGGCGUCGGCCGAGUGCGCCGAGAAGUUCUCCCUCCCCAGCGAGUCGAUGACCUCGCCGUCCAGUCCGCAGUACUUGAAAAACGAGUCGAAGUCCGCAAAGUUCUUGGAGUACCUGGAGCUGAUGUCGGAGUGGGAGCGACUGACCCCUUUGCCGGACCUCCUCUCCACCUCGGGAACAGCGAGGAGCCCAGCUGCCCGGUUUGGACCAGAUUCACUUCUCUCCGUUCUGUAUGGUUCUGUCAGCCCAUUCCUUCCCCUCUCUGACUGUGAGCCACAUUCCUUUGCUGCUCCCUCAGGUGUGUUGAUUUUUCCCUUGUUAUCUGCGGCCUCAGGUAACGUAAGACUUACAUUCAAAGAGCUGAGCAGCAGCUUACGUGUGACCUGGUGUUUCCGGUCGCUGGCUGCACCCUUCACUAAAUCGCUUUUCUGCCGGUAAAGGAGCAGAGAGUCUGGGCGUUUUUUGGAGCUGGAUCGACGUACCUCCACGGGUGAGCAGACCUGUGCACUACUAACCUCUGUGGAGUUACUGCCUGUGACAGGAUUCGUGUCCUGUUUUGAACUCUGGUUAGAGGAGCCCGUACUGCUCACAGAAGCGGAUCCGAUACUGAUAACUGGCUCCUGAGUCGUGUUGACCACCUGCUGGCUCUUCACAUAGUUGGGUUUACUUGCAGCGAGUCUCUCCACAGCACUCACACGUCCUUUUGUGUCACCCUCCAGUUCCAUUUGCUUGCGAAGGUAGCCGGUAAUCCUACAGCGCAUGGCCUCUCGGAGGAGCAAGUUUCCAUUCAAGCCCACUCCUCGCCUGAGCACACGUUACAACGGGAGACUUCACCUUGUCUGUUCAAACACACAUCACGUUACCCCACCCAUCCUGU
Molecule: RNA transcript, 1233 nt
Organism: Betta splendens (Siamese fighting fish)
Lineage: Eukaryota; Metazoa; Chordata; Actinopteri; Anabantiformes; Osphronemidae
Exons: 5
Source: RefSeq, a predicted model, not a curated record